GGAUUGUGGCUCAGCGGGAGAGUGUUUGCCUACCACAUGCGAGGCCCUGGGUUCGAUCCUCAGCACCA
RNAcentral lists this transfer RNA (68 nucleotides) under Marmota monax (woodchuck). RNAcentral's name for it is "tRNA.Gly". Lineage: Eukaryota; Metazoa; Chordata; Mammalia; Rodentia; Sciuridae. The record is from RNAcentral.